RNAcentral lists this transfer RNA (75 nucleotides) under Nitrososphaerota archaeon. RNAcentral describes it as "Thaumarchaeota archaeon tRNA-Arg". It matches the Rfam family "tRNA". From Rfam's summary of the family: Transfer RNA (tRNA) molecules are approximately 80 nucleotides in length. The record is from RNAcentral. Lineage: Archaea; Thermoproteati; Nitrososphaerota.
GGGCCCGUGGCCUAGUUUGGAGAAGGCGCCGGCCUUCGGAGCCGGAGACCCGGGGUUCAAAUCCCCGCGGGCCCA